UACGGAGGGUGCAAGCGUUAUCCGGAUUCACUGGGUUUAAAGGGUGCGUAGGCGGGUAGGUAAGUCAGAGGUGAAAUCCUGGAGCUUAACUCCAGAACUGCCUUUGAUACUAUCUAUCUUGAAUAUGGUGGAGGUAAGCGGAAUAUGUCAUGUAGCGGUGAAAUGCAUAGAUAUGACAUAGAACACCUAUUGCGAAGGCAGCUUACUACGCCUAUAUUGACGCUGAGGCACGAAAGCGUGGGGAUCAAACAGG
RNAcentral lists this ribosomal RNA (253 nucleotides) under uncultured bacterium. RNAcentral describes it as "partial 16S ribosomal RNA". It matches the Rfam family "Bacterial small subunit ribosomal RNA", at positions 524 to 776 of the family's 1533-position model. RNAcentral also lists the same sequence under 2 other names. The record is from RNAcentral.